GGCAGGGCGAACACACAACAGGCCUACUGUACUGGAGAAACGCAGCCAUAUUUUUCCUCACAUUUUGACACAUGUAUCCUAUUCCACGGAUUUUGAAGGAACCGGUGGGUUGUGAGCUCUCCAUCUUCAGAUACACGGUGGUCCCGAUCCGCUUAGACAUGCCCGUGCUCUCGAGAAGUGGGGUGAUGACAUGAAAUCCAUUUUGCUUUGACAUUUUUCUCAAAAUUUUCUGAAAUGCAGGAAAGGUGGACAACAAUAUCCGGUCACGUUCAGUUCAGGGUUUUAGGAGUCCUGUGGAUCCAACUUCAGUGACUACUAGGAUAUGGUAAGCGUACUGCUUUUUAAGAUGAAUAAUAGGUGGGGCUUAAAUCCACAUUUUAUGCAAUUUGUUUGUUAGUACCUAUGAGGUAAGACAUUAGAGUAUGUAUAGGACUUGCUUCAUCGGUACUGACAAACUAAGUGCAAGCUAGUGUAGAUUGAUUAUCUCAGCGUUUGUGAUCAAAUCAAUUCACAAUGUCUUUAUAUAUUAUUUAGCUACAAUUGAAAAUAAAACAUGCUUUUAAAACUGUUUUCAAAUGGCAAACAGUUUGCAUUCUGUUUUAUGCAUUCUGAUCAAAAAUUUCUUCUUGAUAUCAUGCCCAAAAA
This is a long non-coding RNA of Onychostoma macrolepis, 645 nucleotides long. RefSeq lists it as uncharacterized. NCBI's taxonomy places the organism in Eukaryota, Metazoa, Chordata, Actinopteri, Cypriniformes, Cyprinidae. The transcript has 3 exons. The record is from RefSeq and is a predicted model, not a curated record.